CUCACGGGCCCGGCCGCUCGACGGCAUGUGGGAUCUUCCCAGACCGGGGCACGAACCCAUGUCCCCUGCAUCGGCAGGCGGACUCUCAACCACUGUGCCACCAGGGAAGCCCUGGAAGAGCUUUUGCUACGGCACUCAUCACACCCCAACAAGAGUUACUGAAUUUGAGACAUAGACUGGAACUUUAAAGCAUCACGUUGCAGGGAAGAAACUGAGGUUCGAAGAGAAUCGGAGUCAACUGGGCUAUUUUGAAAUCUACCAAAGGCAGACCAUCCAAGAACCUAUAAUUGUAGAGAGGGACUGUCUUUUCUGGCAGUGGUGUCUGUGUGUGCAGGUUGUAAAAGGCAGUACGGGCCCAGCAGUAGAUUCAGUGCCAGGAGGGCUGACGUUUGGACCCAGCGCUAUCAUUAUACUAAUAUAGUUCCUGUGCUGCCACGUUGUUUCACCAUAGCAAGCACUGGUCUUUCUGUGCCUCCGCUUUUCCUGUUGGUGAUGAGAAGAGCCAUUCUUACAUAUUUAUACAAGUAUAAAUAUUUAUACAGGUAUUUGUGAAGGCAAAUAGAGCAGAGUGAAUGAAACAAAUCUUAGUGGUUCUUCUACUUACUGGUUGUUAUGGGACUGUUAUGGGCUGAAUCGUGUGCUCCCUCCCCAGUUCAUGUGCCAAAGUCCUAACCAUACCUCAGAAUGUGAGGGGAUUUGGAGACAGGAUCUUUAAAGAGGUCAUUAAGUUAAAAUGAGAUCGUUAGGGUGGACCCUAAUCCCAAAGACCACGUGAAGACACAGAAGACAGCCAUCUACAAGGCAAAAAGAGAGCCUUCAGAAGAAACCGAUCCUGCCAAUACCUUCAUCUUAGACUUCUAGCCUCCAAAAUUGUGAGAAAGUAAAUUCCUGCUGCCCAAGGCACCCAGAAACCUUGUUAUGGCAGCCCUAGCAAACUAAUACAGGGGCCUUAGGAAAGUUACAUAACCUUUCUAGGCCAGAUAAACUACAUAAUUUGUGGCGUCCAGUGCAAAAUGAAAAUGUAGGGCCCGUCGUUAAAAAAUUAUUAAGUGUUUCAAGAUGGCAACAAUGGAGCAUUAAACCAAGCUCAGGGCCCCUCUAAGUGCCAGGGAACAUACUUCCCACCCACGAAGCCGGUUCUGAUUCUAGAUGUCAGUUUCCCUGUCUGGAAAGCAGUGAUCAUAAUUGCACUUACUUUUAGGUUUGCUGAGAAGAUUAGAUCAGAUUCUAGGACUAAGCUCUCAGAGAACAUGAAGGGGUGACCAA
Lagenorhynchus albirostris (white-beaked dolphin) is the source of this 1266-nucleotide long non-coding RNA. RefSeq lists it as uncharacterized. The record is from RefSeq and is a predicted model, not a curated record. The transcript is spliced from 3 exons. Lineage: Eukaryota; Metazoa; Chordata; Mammalia; Artiodactyla; Delphinidae.